Molecule: ribosomal RNA, 494 nt
Filed under: uncultured bacterium
Lineage: Bacteria
Description: partial 16S ribosomal RNA
Rfam family: Bacterial small subunit ribosomal RNA
Source: RNAcentral
GACGAACGCUGGCGGCGUGCUUAACACAUGCAAGUCGAACGGUGAAGCGCCUUCCUUUUUGGUGGGUGUGGAUGAGUGGCGAACGGGUGAGUAACACGUGAGUAACCUGCCCCCUUCUUCUGGAUAACCGCAUGAAAGUGUGGCUAAUACGGGAUAUUCUGGGUCUGUCGCAUGAUGGGUCUGGGAAAGAUAUUGUUUCGGUGGGGGAUGGGCUCGCGGCCUAUCAGCUUGUUGGUGGGGUGAUGGCCUACCAAGGCGGUGACGGGUAGCCGGCCUGAGAGGGUGGACGGUCACACUGGGACUGAGACACGGCCCAGACUCCUACGGGAGGCAGCAGCGGGGAAUAUUGCACAAUGGGCGCAAGCCUGAUGCAGCGACGCCGCGUGAGGGAUGGAGGCCUUCGGGUUGUGAACCUCUUUCGCCAGUGAAGCAGGCCUGCCUCGUUUGUGGGUGGGUUGACGGUAGCUGGAGAAGAAGCGCCGGCUAACUACGUG